This 253-nucleotide ribosomal RNA is filed under the name uncultured bacterium. RNAcentral's name for it is "partial 16S ribosomal RNA". It matches the Rfam family "Bacterial small subunit ribosomal RNA", at positions 524 to 776 of the family's 1533-position model. The record is from RNAcentral.
UACGAAGGGGGCUAGCGUUGCUCGGAAUCACUGGGUUUAAAGGGUGCGUAGGUGGAUUGGUAAGUCAGUGGUGAAAUCUCUGGGCUUAACUCAGAAACUGCCAUUGAUACUAUCAGUCUUGAAUACCGUGGAGGUCAGCGGAAUAUGUCAUGUAGCGGUGAAAUGCUUAGAUAUGACAUAGAACACCAAUUGCGAAGGCAGCUGGCUACACGAAUAUUGACACUGAGGCACGAAAGCGUGGGGAUCAAACAGG